This 1186-nucleotide small RNA is filed under the name uncultured beta proteobacterium. RNAcentral's name for it is "bacterial SSU rRNA". The stretch from base 1 to 468 matches the Rfam family "Bacterial small subunit ribosomal RNA", at positions 1064 to 1533 of the family's 1533-position model. The record is from RNAcentral. Lineage: Bacteria; Pseudomonadati; Pseudomonadota; Betaproteobacteria.
GUCGUGAGAUGUUGGGUUAAGUCCCGCAACGAGCGCAACCCUUGUCAUUAGUUGCUACAUUCAGUUGGGCACUCUAAUGAGACUGCCGGUGACAAACCGGAGGAAGGCGGGGAUGACGUCAAGUCCUCAUGGCCCUUAUGGGUAGGGCUUCACACGUAAUACAAUGGCGCGUACAGAGGGUUGCCAAGGAGCGAUCUGGAGCCAAUCCCACUAAAGCGCGUCGUAGUCCGGAUUGCAGUCUGCAACUCGACUGCAUGAAGUCGGAAUCGCUAGUAAUCGCGGAUCAGCAUGUCGCGGUGAAUACGUUCCCGGGUCUUGUACACACCGCCCGUCACACCAUGGGAGUGGGUUUCACCAGAAGCCGGUCGCCUAACCGCAAGGGGGGCGCCGACCACGGUGAGAUUCAUGACUGGGGUGAAGUCGUAACAAGGUAGCCGUAUCGGAAGGUGCGGCUGGAUCACCUCCUUUCUAAGAUGGCGCUACUCAGUGCCCACCCUCUAUCGGCUGUUCUUUUGAACAGCAGCCGCAACACAAACAAAGCGACCCAAGCGGGUCUGUAGCUCAGUUGGUUAGAGCACCGUCUUGAUAAGGCGGGGGUCGAUGGUUCGAAUCCAUCCAGACCCACCAACAAGCAAGGGACGAGGCCCGAGGGGCCACGCCCGAGAAAGAGCAACAGCAACCCGCGGGGGCCAUAGCUCAGCUGGGAGAGCGCCUGCUUUGCAAGCAGGAGGUCAUCGGUUCGAUCCCGAUUGGCUCCACCAGCAAACGAAAACGAGGAAUCAGCAAUCAACGUCGCUCGCGCGACGCUGAUUGGUGCUUCUUCAAAACAGCAUCGAUCGGCUGCUCUUUAACAAUCCGGGAUAGAAGGUAAAGUUGUUUUCGUCUUGCGAGGCGCGUCGUGGUUUGGCGUGCGCGAGCGAGGCGAAGGCUAACUGGGUUAUGUAUUGCAUCGUGCCCUGGCUUUGAAGAUUGCCGGGGUGCAAGCACAAGCGUGAGAAUUUCCUAUUUCGUUGUGAUGCCUUGGGGGACUUUGCCCUGGGGUGCUUCGUGGUUUGAGGCAGCAAGGUUAUAGGGUCAAGCGAAUAAGUGCAUGUGGUGGAUGCCUUGGCGAUGAUAGGCGACGAAGGACGUGACAGCCUGCGAUAAGCUGCGGGGAGCCGGCAAAUGGGCUUUGAUCCGCAGAUUU